This is a long non-coding RNA of Pezoporus flaviventris, 903 nucleotides long. RefSeq lists it as uncharacterized. The record is from RefSeq and is a predicted model, not a curated record. NCBI's taxonomy places the organism in Eukaryota, Metazoa, Chordata, Aves, Psittaciformes, Psittacidae. The transcript is spliced from 2 exons.
UGCAGAAGAAACAGUGGGAGCAAAUAUCCCCCAGGCUGUUUGGCCUGGCUAUGCGUCUUCCUCUCUGGCACAAUGUUAAGCGUGUUUUUAAGCAGCAUUGCCCCUCACUAUCAUCCUGCACACAGUUUCUCAUCUCACCAGGAGCUGCAGGAAGGAGCCUGUUGCACCAAGGAGCAGGGACAGCAAGGGCCCUGCUGGGGUCACUGCCAGAGAUGGCUGGGCUCGAACUCCAGAGCAGGGGUCGGUCAGCUGAGUGGGGCAGCCCAGGCCUCCCAGAACUGCCCCUUGGGUUUCCUGCACACCAAAACUGUCAUCUCUGUCUGUCACAUAGUGGGAUUGUUCACUAACAGAACUGUGAGACUUGGAGGCAGCAUCUCUUUUCCAAGGGAGUGUGAUGAAUUUGCAGUAGGAGACCUGUGGCAGUUGGUGUUUAGCAAGUGCUGUGUGAGGCCGGGGUGACUUGGGAGCUAUUAAUAGUCUCCACUGAGAAGCUCAUAUUGCCUCAAUAACACGGAUCAUUAAUUUUGCUUUUUAAUCAUUAAGAAAAUAGCUUUCAUUGAUGGAAUGUUUGGGACAAAGUCAGAUGUGAGAAAUUUUCCUACUUUUGUUACUCCUGUUGUAUUAGCUAUUAACUAAGUCACUAACCUUGUUGCUAACCUCUUUUUGAUAUUUUAAAGCUGAUGGAAUGAUUAUAUUUGUAUGUAUACCAAUUAGUAUUCUGCUAAAUCAUUAUUUCAAGUUGUAUUGCUUUCUGAGCACUCUGUGUUUGUAUAUGAGAAAUCUGGAGCAAUAAAACAUGCAAUACAAACAAAUUAAAGGAAAUGUUAUGGGGAUUUACCCAAGGCAUUUGUCCUGCCUGAAUACCAGUUCCUAAUGAAAUUAUGAGUAAAAAAGUGGAAAUUA